AAAACGCAACCGUGUCCGUUAUUGUAUCGUACCUAACAGUAAUUUCUUAUUUCUCGUGUCUCUUUCCAUACUUCGCCUGCAGAGGAACACGAAGUUUGCGUCGGAUCUAAGGGAAAACCAUACGCACACAGGAAACGUUCUUUACAAACUAAGCUAUUCUCACCAAACAGCUCCUAAUCAUCACCGAGACUCCGAGACAACGACGAAUAGAUCGAAGCCCAAUCAAGCCAAGGCAUCCUUCAUUUCUUCAAUCCAACUCUUUGAGGGAGGAUUUAUUGGUGAUUGAGACUUCGAGGAGAGGAGGUGAUUGACCAGGAGUCGUUGUGGGAUCUGAAACGAAGUGGAUCAGAUGGACAAGAAUAAGAGCCGUACUGAUAUGCUCGCUGCUGGUCGUAAAAAGCUUCAACAAUUUCGUCAGAAGAAGGACAAUAAAGGUAGCAGCAGUCAUGGAAAGUCAUCCAAAAUGUCUGGCAAAUCAGAGCAGCAUGAAUCUUAUACUGAUGCAGUAUCAAAUGCUUCCAACUCAACAGCAUUGCCACAGGUUCAUGAAGGGGAAAAUGUUUCUAACAUCAAUCCCAAUUUGGGAGUUGAAGAUUCUUCAUUUUCUCAUUCAAUAGAGAAUUCUGUGGCUUCUGGUGUCGAUAUUGCGGCUGUUGAUCCAUUGUCAAUUCCCAUGAUAACUGACACAUCAUCGAUUGAUGACAC
Molecule: unclassified non-coding RNA, 705 nt
Filed under: Hevea brasiliensis (rubber tree)
Lineage: Eukaryota; Viridiplantae; Streptophyta; Magnoliopsida; Malpighiales; Euphorbiaceae
Source: RNAcentral